AUCUUGGUAGCUUAGUUGGUAAAGCACCAGACCAUGAAUUCUAGAUUCCCAGGUUCAAGCCCUGGCCAAUAUA
Molecule: transfer RNA, 73 nt
Filed under: Serpula lacrymans var. lacrymans S7.9
Lineage: Eukaryota; Fungi; Basidiomycota; Agaricomycetes; Boletales; Serpulaceae
Also listed under: 1 other name
Description: tRNA-His (ATG) (tRNA-His-ATG-8-1)
Rfam family: tRNA
About the family: Transfer RNA (tRNA) molecules are approximately 80 nucleotides in length. Their secondary structure includes four short double-helical elements and three loops (D, anti-codon, and T loops).
Source: RNAcentral